Molecule: ribosomal RNA, 253 nt
Filed under: uncultured bacterium
Lineage: Bacteria
Description: partial 16S ribosomal RNA
Rfam family: Bacterial small subunit ribosomal RNA
Source: RNAcentral
UACGAAGGGGGCUAGCGUUGCUCGGAAUCACUGGGCGUAAAGGGUGCGUAGGCGGGUCUUUAAGUCCCGUGUGAAAUCCCUCGGCUCAACUGAGGAACCGCACGGGAAACUGCCGGGCUUGAGUUCGGGAGAGGGAAGCGGAAUUCCGGGUGUAGCGGUGAAAUGCGUAGAUAUCCGGAGGAACACCGGUGGCGAAGGCGGCUUCCUGGACCGACACUGACGCUGAGGCGCGAAAGCUAGGGGAGCAAACGGG